CAAGUCGAGCGGUAACAGAGAGUAGCUUGCUACUUUGCUGACGAGCGGCGGACGGGUGAGUAAUGCUUGGGGAUCUGCCCGGUCGAGGGGGAUAACCGUUGGAAACGACGGCUAAUACCGCAUACGCCCUACGGGGGAAAGCAGGGGACCUUCGGGCCUUGCGCGAUUGGAUGAACCCAAGUGAGAUUAGCUUGUUGGUGAGGUAACGGCUCACCAAGGCGACGAUCUCUAGCUGGUCUGAGAGGAUGACCAGUCACACUGGGACUGAGACACGGCCCAGACUCCUACGGGAGGCAGCAGUGGGGAAUAUUGCACAAUGGGGGAAACCCUGAUGCAGCCAUGCCGCGUGUGUGAAGAAGGCCUUCGGGUUGUAAAGCACUUUCAGUGGUGAGGAAAGGAGGUUGGCUAAUACCUGACCUCUGUGACGUUAACCACAGAAGAAGCACCGGCUAACUCCGUGCCA
RNAcentral lists this ribosomal RNA (463 nucleotides) under bacterium 1611-S2-10-1. RNAcentral describes it as "bacterial SSU rRNA". It matches the Rfam family "Bacterial small subunit ribosomal RNA", at positions 58 to 510 of the family's 1533-position model. The record is from RNAcentral.